GACGAACGCUGGCGGCGUGCUUAACACAUGCAAGUCGAACGCUGAAGCUCAGCUUUUGUUGGGUGGAUGGGUGGCGAACGGGUGAGUAACACGUGAGUAACCUGCCCCCUUCUUUGGGAUAACGCCCGGAAACGGGUGCUAAUACUGGAUAUUCACUGGUCUUCGCAUGGGGGUUGGUGGAAAGGGCUUUUCUGGUGGGGGAUGGGCUCGCGGCCUAUCAGCUUGUUGGUGGGGUGAUGGCCUACCAAGGCUUUGACGGGUAGCCGGCCUGAGAGGGUGACCGGUAACAGUGGGACUGAGAUACGGCCCAGACGCCUACGGGAGGCAGCAGUGGGGAAUAUGGGACAAUGGGCGCAAGACUGAUGCAGCGACGCCGCGUGAGGGAUGGAGGCCUUCGGGUUGUGAACCUCUGUCGGUCAUGGUCAAGCCGCAACAAUGGUUGUGGUGAGGGUAGUGGGUAAAGAAGCGCCGGCUAACUACGUG
Molecule: ribosomal RNA, 483 nt
Filed under: uncultured bacterium
Lineage: Bacteria
Description: partial 16S ribosomal RNA
Rfam family: Bacterial small subunit ribosomal RNA
Source: RNAcentral